CGGAACGCAUCCAACUUUGCUUGAGUACUACGUAGUCUCAUUCGAAACUUCGCCUUUUCUUUGCCGUUUUGAACCUCAUCCUGUUGGCAAGAUUGUUAGAUAAGAGUAACCAGCAUGAGGUCAAAGGUUCAAUCCAUGGUGGUUGCCAACCUAUGAAUUAAUUUCCUACAAGUUUUCUUGACGGAAAUAUUUCAAGGUCAGACAGUUUGUCCCAUGAGAUUAGUCAAGAUGUGUGUAAACCGGUUCGGACAAUCACAAAUAUUAAAAAGUAAGUGCUGAAAGUAUAUAACUUACUUGCUGAGUUGCUUCA
Long non-coding RNA from Cucumis sativus (cucumber), 310 nucleotides. RefSeq lists it as uncharacterized. The record is from RefSeq and is a predicted model, not a curated record. The transcript is spliced from 2 exons. NCBI's taxonomy places the organism in Eukaryota, Viridiplantae, Streptophyta, Magnoliopsida, Cucurbitales, Cucurbitaceae.